This 376-nucleotide ribosomal RNA is filed under the name Nematoda sp. RNAcentral describes it as "SSU rRNA". It matches the Rfam family "Eukaryotic small subunit ribosomal RNA", at positions 252 to 626 of the family's 1831-position model. Lineage: Eukaryota; Metazoa; Nematoda. The record is from RNAcentral.
CUGAAUAACUGAGCAAAUUGCUUCGGUCUUGCACCGGCAAUGUAUCUUUCAAGUGUCUGCCUUAUCAACUUUCGAUGGUAGUUUAUGCGCCUACCAUGGUUGUAACGGGUAACGGAGAAUUAGGGUUCGACUCCGGAGAGGGAGCCUGAGAAACGGCUACCACUUCUAAGGAAGGCAGCAGGCGCGCAAAUUACCCACUCUCGGCACGAGGAGGUAGUGACGAAAAAUAACGAGACGGGUCUCUUCUGAGAGCCGUCAUCGGAAUGAGAACAACUUAAAACCUUUAACGAGGACCUAGCGGAGGGCAAGUCUGGUGCCAGCAGCCGCGGUAAUUCCAGCUCCGCCAGUGUAUAUCUAUGCUGCUGCGGUUAAAAAG